GGGGGGGGGGGGGGGGGGGGGGGGGGGGGGGGGGGGGGGGGGGGGGGGGGGGGGGUUGCCGCUCUGGGGGGGGCGGCGGGCGGGGGAGUAGGGCGUGGGUAACCUAGCUAUAAGACUGGGGUGACUUCGGGAAACCGGAGCGAAUACCGGGUCAUCUUUUGCACCGCAUGGUUCAAAAGGGCAAGGCGGUCUUGCUGUCACUGAUAGAUGGAUCCGCGCUGCAUUAGCUAGUUGGUAAGGUAACGGCUUACCAAGGCAACGAUGCAUAGCCGACCUGAGAGGGUGAUCGGCCACACUGGAACUGAGACACGGUCCAGACUCCUACGGGAGGCAGCAGUAGGGAAUCUUCCGCAAUGGGCGAAAGCCUGACGGAGCAACGCCGCGUGAGUGAUGAAGGUCUUCGGAUCGUAAAACUCUGUUAUUAGGGAAGAACAUAUGUGUAAGUAACUGUGCACAUCUUGACGGUACCUAAUCAGAAAGCCACGGCUAACUACGUG
This 497-nucleotide ribosomal RNA is filed under the name uncultured bacterium. RNAcentral's name for it is "partial 16S ribosomal RNA". It matches the Rfam family "Bacterial small subunit ribosomal RNA", at positions 38 to 507 of the family's 1533-position model. The record is from RNAcentral.